This 317-nucleotide ribosomal RNA is filed under the name uncultured bacterium. Its description in RNAcentral is "bacterial SSU rRNA". It matches the Rfam family "Bacterial small subunit ribosomal RNA", at positions 28 to 334 of the family's 1533-position model. The record is from RNAcentral.
GACGAACGCGUGGCGGCGCGCCUAACACAUGCAAGUCGAACGGAGUUGUGUUGAAAGCUUGCUGGAUAUACAACUUAGUGGCGGACGGGUGAGUAACACGUGAGUAACCUGCCUCUCAGAGUGGAAUAACGUUUGGAAACGAACGCUAAUACCGCAUAACGUGAGAAGAGGGCAUCCUCUUUUUUACCAAAGAUUUAUCGCUGAGAGAUGGGCUCGCGGCCGAUUAGGUAGUUGGUGAGAUAACAGCCCACCAAGCCGACGAUCGGUAGCCGGACUGAGAGGUUGAUCGGCCACAUUGGGACUGAGACACGGCCCAG